This is a long non-coding RNA of Neogobius melanostomus (round goby), 1945 nucleotides long. Lineage: Eukaryota; Metazoa; Chordata; Actinopteri; Gobiiformes; Gobiidae. The record is from Ensembl.
AGGAAGGUGCCUGGGAGGCUGCAGGAUGGUACCUCAGAGGCGGCAGGGGCUUUGUGAAGACGAGUAGGAGGGGUUGGGCAGACGGGGGUGGGGAUGCUACGUGGAAACUAACUUCUACCUUUGCUUUGACGAGUUAAAAAGAUAGCCAAUGCCACCCAAGAGAGAGGCGGGGGCCCCUUCAACAUCUCCCCCAAUGAAGAUGAUUAAGAUCGGCACAGACGGCCAAGAGUAUGGCUGUGACCCAGUGGAGAGCCGGUACAGACUGACAGAGGAGGGUUCCUACUCCCCAUACAUGAAUAAUGAGAAUGAACAUGUUUUUGAUGAAGAAAACUUAACCAGCACUGGCCUCAGAACAGACACCAUCAGCCUCCUCAUGAAGAUAGAGACACUGCAAGCUCAGUUAAAGUACGAGCGCAGGUGUCGGAUUCUGGCUGAGAGGGAGCUGCGGGAGCUUAAAGAGAUGAACACCCUAAUGAUGCAGAUGCGGCACACAGCCCACGAGCUGAGAGUGACUUUGGAUCACGUUCUUCAGACAAACGAGACACCGGUGACUCAGUCCGGUGCCCAGGACGAGUCAAUGUCUUAUAUCUCAGAGCCAGACAACGACAUGAGAGCUGUUCACAACAUACCAGAAGUGCAAAAUGUGCCCCCUGUUCAUACAAUGCCAGCAAUGCUCAAUGUACCGGAGGAUGAUGAGAAUUACCUCUAUCUGGCAGAGAACAUCCGAGUCCCCAGGAACCUCUACGAGCGAAUAGCGGAGAUCGAGGACUAUAAGAAGUACACAGGUGCAUUGCUCAUGAUGCUUUUCGACAGAGACACUUUGGCCACACACUCCCUACAGGGACGCCGGGGCACCCUAAGUGGAGCAGACGACUCCCAAAAACCGCAACUACCACCUGACAUCCUGAGAAAUAUCAUCGAACACAUUUCAAGAAAGUUUGGUGUCGACCACGGUCUUAUUAAAACUGCCAUCAGGACCAAGUUAAACAAUGAGGACAAACUGUUUAAGAAAAGGCAUGGGUUGUGCAAGUCUGAUCAUAAAGUGGCUCCUGUCUAUUGCCCAGAGAUAUUGACCAAAUCUGAAAAUAAGAUUGAAUCGGCCUAUUUUCCACUUUUGCCUGCCGACACAGCAGACAACAGAGGUGACUCUCAGCUGUAACUUCUCAUUCAAAUGAAGACUUUUGCCUUUGUUCACGUAUGUACAACUGUUCUAUGAUACUGUUCAGCACAUGUAACGCAACUGUACACUUUAUUUAUUGUAUUUGCUCGACCUCUAUAGCAUAUUCAUAAGUAUUUGGCACCUGUCUCGUCCACUGUGUGCAUUAACUUGUGACCAAACAAACAAAGCUGUCCAACAGCACCUUGAAAUGUAGUUCAACUAAGUGUUCUUAAUACGGUUUACUUCUUCAAGCUCGUAAUUGUCAGGUUUGUGACUUUUGUCUUGGUAACUAUACAGUACAUAGCAAUAGUCAUAUAGAGGCCUUAGAGUGUAAUAGCCAACUGAAAAUAAAAAAGGAUGCUUAAUGUAUCCUGAUGACAAAUUGUGCAUUACAAUGUGAUACUGUGAUCCUAGAUGCGUAUUUCGAACGUUUCAGUGCAAUGCUACAAUAACUAUCUUUGUUAAACAACACCUCUCACUGUGCAAUGUAUUUUGUUUAAUAUGAUUCAAUAAAAGUAAAAGCAAGUCUUUUUAAUUGUUUUGAUAAAGGUAAAUAUUGAGAUUUUGGUGCAGACUAGGGCUGCAACUAACGAUUAUUUUGUAAUCGAUUAAUCUAUCGAUUAUUUUUACGAUUAAUCGAUUGGCUUUGAAUGGUGUAUGAACAUUUUAUUUUUUCAAUUUUUUCAUCACAUGAAGCUAAAAUUGCACAUCUUAGCACUAAUUCUGCUUCUGAUUGGAUGAAACACAGACAGAUAUUCAUGAAAUUUACAAUGUACAAAAUAUUAC